UACGUAGGGUGCGAGCGUUAAUCGGAAUUACUGGGCGUAAAGCGUGCGCAGGCGGUUUUGUAAGCCAGAUGUGAAAUCCCCGGGCUUAACCUGGGAAUGGCAUUUGGGACUGCAAGGCUUGAGUGCGGCAGAGGAGACUGGAAUUCCUGGUGUAGCAGUGAAAUGCGCAGAUAUCGGGAGGAACACCAGUAGCGAAGGCGGUUCUCUGGGCCGGUACUGACGCUGAGGAGCGGAAGCGUGGGGAGCAAACAGG
This 253-nucleotide ribosomal RNA is filed under the name uncultured bacterium. RNAcentral describes it as "partial 16S ribosomal RNA". It matches the Rfam family "Bacterial small subunit ribosomal RNA", at positions 524 to 776 of the family's 1533-position model. The record is from RNAcentral.